Molecule: non-coding RNA, 1595 nt
Organism: Salvia hispanica
Lineage: Eukaryota; Viridiplantae; Streptophyta; Magnoliopsida; Lamiales; Lamiaceae
Source: RefSeq, a predicted model, not a curated record
CGGAAGGGUCACUAAAGUAAUUUCAAACGUAGUUCCCUCUUGAGCCUUUAACAAAGGUUAGCCGCUCAUUCUCCUAGGGUUUUUCGCCAGCUUCAACACUAGGGUUUCAGACUUGCAGCAGUUCUUGUAAGUCAAGAUGUCCAGAGUUUAUGUCGGAAAUCUUGAUCCCCGAGUCACUGAGCGCGAACUCGAGGAUGAAUUUCGUGUGUUUGGAGUUAUCAGAAGUGUAUGGGUUGCCAGAAGACCUCCAGGCUAUGCUUUCAUUGAUUUUGACGAUCGGAGAGAUGCCCAGGAUGCCAUCAGAGAUCUUGAUGGCAAAAAUGGAUGGAGAGUUGAACUCUCACAUAACUCCAGCGGUGGUGGUGGAGGCCGUGGUGGUGGCGGCGGUGGUCGCGGAAGGUCUGGUUCUGAUUUAAAGUGUUAUGAAUGUGGCGAGGCUGGUCAUUUUGCUCGUGAGUGCAGAACUCGUGGUGGUACUGGGAGGCGUAGAAGUCGCAGCCCCCCUAGAUACCGCCGGAGUCCAAGUUAUGGUCGGAGGAGUUAUAGUCCUCGUGCUCGUUCCCCUCGGCGUCGAAGCUUAUCACCCAAAGAUCGCAGCUUCAGCAGGUCGCCGUAUCGUGGACGAGAGGAAGUGCCAUAUGCUAACGGAGAUGGUCCUAGGGAAAGAGUCGAAAGACGCAGAAGCAGGAGCUAAGCAUUGAUCUUAUUCUAGUAUUUGAACUGAUGGCGCAGUUUUUACAGUAGUGUUUACUCUGCUUGGACUUAGUUACUGCUAUGUAAGUGGGCGACAUCUUCAGCUUCGACUGAGGCAUUUGGUUGUCUUUACUACUUCAGUAGUCUCUACGUGGUACUGCUUCAUUGGUUUUCUGCAUCUGCACUUCUCUUUCGCCCUUCACUGCCCUGCUGUGGGAUCUUCAAUUUGAAACAUUGUGGAUCCCAACUGGCUAGAGUGGGCCUGCGUCAAAUGCUUAUGACAAGUUCGUAAUUCUUCUAAAAGGGAACUGUUGACUUCUAUUCCCUUUGAGUUGCAAGAUGAGGGAGAAUGCUGACUUAAGGGGCUGAAAGUUGCAUGUUCCUCUAUCACAAUGUUACCCUCUUCACCGACACUAGGUUGGGAUCUUUGUGCCUGGUGCCUUCUUCCCCUCGUUGAGAUGUUAUCUUUAUGGUUUUGGUAGUGAACGACCCACUCACUUCAGUCCCCCCCCCUCGACUAGCGAAAUCAGAGAUUGAUAUUAGUUCAUUGACCUUGUGGGCGUUCCCUAUAGAAGUUGACACAACCUAGAUUCCUACGUUAUUUCUUUAGCCUUUGAAAAUUGAUCUUCUUUGAAUAUUUUCCUGCGAUUGUUUGUGUUAGAAAUUUUGUUGCCUUAAACAGCGGUAUCUGCAAUCAGCUUGUUUACCCGCUUGGAAAUGUUUUGAUUUGUGGCUGUAUUUGUCCUGGUCACUGUUUUUUGGGUUUGUUUGUUUAGCUCUUUUUGACCGUUUGCUUUUGUUGGUGGAUUUUUGAGUAUUCACUAAUGGAGAAGGUGAAUAUUUUGUAUGUUUUUGACACAAUGAUACAAAAUGUCUGCAUGAAUUUUGCUUUGUUAACCUCU